AGUGAACGCUGGCGGUAGGCCUAACACAUGCAAGUCGAACGGCAGCACAGUAAGAGCUUGCUCUUACGGGUGGCGAGUGGCGGACGGGUGAGAAAUACAUCGGAAUCUACUUUUUCGUGGGGGAUAACGUAGGGAAACUUACGCUAAUACCGCAUACGACCUACGGGUGAAAGCAGGGGAUCUUCGGACCUUGCGCGAUUGAAUGAGCCGAUGCCGGAUUAGCUAGUUGGCGGGGUAAAGGCCCACCAAGGCGACGAUCCGUAGCUGGUCUGAGAGGAUGAUCAGCCACACUGGAACUGAGACACGGUCCAGACUCCUACGGGAGGCAGCAGUGGGGAAUAUUGGACAAUGGGCGCAAGCCUGAUCCAGCCAUACCGCGUGGGUGAAGAAGGCCUUCGGGUUGUAAAGCCCUUUUGUUGGGAAAGAAAAGCAGCAGGUUAAUACCCCGCUGUUCUGACGGUACCCAAAGAAUAAGCACCGGCUAACUUCGUG
This 492-nucleotide ribosomal RNA is filed under the name uncultured bacterium. RNAcentral describes it as "partial 16S ribosomal RNA". It matches the Rfam family "Bacterial small subunit ribosomal RNA", at positions 29 to 507 of the family's 1533-position model. The record is from RNAcentral.